UCGUGUCGUGAGAUGUUGGGUUAAGUCCCGCAACGAGCGCAACCCUUGUUGGUAGUUGCCAUCAGGUCAUGCUGGGCACUCUAGAGGAACUGCCCCGGUCAACGGGGAGGAAGGCGGGGAUGACGUCAAGUCAUCAUGCCCCUUACGUCCUGGGCUACACACGUGCUACAAUGGCCGGUACAAAGGGAUGCCACACCGCGAGGUAGAGCUAAACCCAAAAAGCCGGUCUAAGUUCAGAUUGGAGUCUGCAACUCGACUCCAUGAAGGAGGAAUCGCUAGUAAUCGC
Molecule: ribosomal RNA, 286 nt
Filed under: uncultured Methylomirabilota bacterium
Lineage: Bacteria; Methylomirabilota (SeqCode)
Description: uncultured candidate division NC10 bacterium partial 16S ribosomal RNA
Rfam family: Bacterial small subunit ribosomal RNA
Source: RNAcentral